This is a long non-coding RNA of Helianthus annuus (common sunflower), 472 nucleotides long. RefSeq lists it as uncharacterized. Lineage: Eukaryota; Viridiplantae; Streptophyta; Magnoliopsida; Asterales; Asteraceae. The record is from RefSeq and is a predicted model, not a curated record. The transcript is spliced from 3 exons.
AGAGAAGAAGAAAAGGGGGCAAACCCCUCAUUGAUAUAGAUCACCAAUUUGAAGGGCAAUUCGAGCCUUAAAUCAGUGCAUAAACGCAUAUAAACGGUCACCUAAACUAGGGGAUCGAAAGGCAAUUUGGGUGAAGCAUCAAGUGGUCAAGCCAGGAUAGACACGCGCUUGAAAGGAAAGCUUUAAGGAAACUUUUUGUAAUCAUUGAAGAAAAAUAUGAUCUAUCUGAUCGUGUGCUGAAGAUAAAGUCAAAAAAAUCAAAGAGAAGGAAGAUACAAGAUAAAUAGGACAAAAGCAGAAGUGAAGACACAUCUUCAACAUAUAUCAGAAUUUGAUCACAAUUGAAGGAAGACGGUCAGAGAAGACCAAUCUGAUAAGUCUGAUGAUAAAUCUGGUGUUUAUCAUCAAAAUCUGAUAACUUGGUAAGCUAUAAAAUAUACCAAAUUUCAUAAUAUUGGAACACAUAGCGAAC